This 6554-nucleotide long non-coding RNA is filed under the name Salvia miltiorrhiza (redroot sage). Its description in RNAcentral is "long non-coding RNA (SMIL_LNC004879)". The record is from RNAcentral. Lineage: Eukaryota; Viridiplantae; Streptophyta; Magnoliopsida; Lamiales; Lamiaceae.
UCACUUAUAAAAGAGCAUUCAGCUCACUUGUCUAUGUCGCUUAAAAAGAGCUCAAAGCUCAUGUGUCCAUGUCCCUUAUAAAAGAGCAUGAAGCGCACGUGUCUCUGUGGCCUAUAAAAGAGCUUAAAGCUCACUUCUCCCUGUUGCUUAUCAAAGAGCUUAAAAGUUACUUGUCCCUCCCCAUUUGUAAAUGUCCCUGACGUUUAUAAAAUUGCAUAUAGCUCAUGUGUCCUUGAUGCUUGUAAAAGAGCUUAAAGCUCACGUGUCUAUAUCGCUUAUAAAAGAGCUUAAGGCUCAUGUGUCUCUAUUGCUUAAGGCUCAUGUGUCCCUAUUGUUUAUAAAAGAGCUUAACGGUCACACGUCUCUCUUGCUUAUAAAAGAGCUUAAUGCUCAUUUAUCCUAAUGAUUAUGAAGUAGCACAAUGCUUAUGAAAGAACUUGCUCAAAUGUCCAUGUUGGUUAUGAAAAGCGUCUAAUGCUCAGGUAUCACUCAUAGCUUGAUUCUCACAUGUCCCUACUGCUUAUGAAAGAGCUUAAAGCUCACUUAUCGUGUGGCUUAUGAAAGAGCCUAAAGCUCACUUGCCCUUGUUACUUAUAAAGAGCAUAAAGCUCACUUGCCCAUGCUGCUUAUUGAAAACUUAAAGCUCACUUGUCCCUGUCAUUUGUAAAAGAACUUAAAGCUCACUUAUCCUCAUUGUUAAUUGAAGAGCUUAAAGCAUAAAGCUCACUUGUCCCUGCUGCAUAUUAAACAGCAUAAAGCUCGCGUGUCCCUAUGGCUUAUAGAAAAGCUUGAAGGUUAGUUGUCCCAGUCUCUUAUAGAAGAGUUUAAAGCUCACGCUCCCUGUUGCUUAUAAAAGAGAUUAAAAUAAUCUUGUCCAUGUCCCUAAUAGAACAACUUAAAGCUCACAUAAAAGAGCAUGUAGCUCACGUGUCCAUAUGGAUAUAAAAUAGCAUAAAGCUCAACGUUUCCUUCCCAUUUAUGAAAAAGCUUAGAGGUCACUUGUCCCUCUCGCUUAUAAAAGGGCUUAAAGCUCACGGGUCCCUGUUGUUUAAUAUAAGAGCUUAAAGCUCACUUUUCUCUGCCACUCGUAAAAGACCAUAAAGCUUACUUGCUCCUGCCGCUUAUAAAAGAGCGUAAAGCUCACUUGUCCCUGUCAUUUAUGAAAGAGUUUUAACGCUCACUUGUUCCCAUCAUUAAUUAAAGAGCUUGAAGCAUAACGCUCACUUGUCCCUGCUGCUUAUUAAAGAGCAUAAAGCCCACUUGUCCCUCUGGCUUAUGGAAAAGCUUAAAGGUUGCUUGUCCCUGUCUCCUAUAGAAGAGUUUAAAGCUCAUGUGUCCAUGUUGCUUAUAAAAGAGAUUAAUAUAAACUUGUCCAUGUCCCUACUAAAAUAACUUAAAGCUCACAUAAAAGAGCAUGACGCUCACGUGUCCCGAUGUUGAUUAUAAAAGAGCUUAAAGCUCACUUGUCCUCGUCGCUUGCAAAAGAGCUAAAGCUCACUUGUCCCCCCUCCCCCCGCGCUUAUAAAAGAACUUAAAAGCUCACUUGUCUCUGCCGCUUAUAGAAGAGCUCAAAGUUCUGGGGUCUGUGUAUAUAAAAGAGCUUAAAGCUCAUGUGUCCCGGUUGCUUAUAAAAGAGCUUAAAGCUCACUUGUCCCUCUCGUUUAUAAAAAAGAGCAUAAAGGUCACAUGUCUUUAUCGCUUCUUAAAGAGCUUAAAGCUCACUUGUCCCUAUGGCUUAUAAAAGAGCUUGAAGCUCAUUCGUCCUGCUGCUUAUAAAAGAGUAGGAAGCUCACGUGUCAAUGUGGCUCAUAAAAGAGCUUAAAGUUUGCUUGUCUCUGUAGCUUAUAAAAGGGCUUAAAGCUGAAAGCUCAUGUGUCCUAUUGGCUUAUAAAAGAGUUUAAAGCUCACGUGUCCCUUCUGUUCAUAAAAGAGUUUAGUGCUCAUGUGUCCCUCUUACUUACAAAAGAGCGCAAUGCUCAUGUGUCACUCCUAAGCAAGAGCUUAAUGCUCACAUGUCCCUGGUGCUUAUAAAAGAGCUUAAAGCUCAUGUGUCCCGGUUGCUUAUAAAAGUGCUUAACACUCACGUGUCCUUGCUUAAGAAAGAGUUUAAUGCUCAUAACCCAAUGAUUACGAAAUAGCUUGAUGAUCAUGUGUGAAAGCGCUUAAUGCUCAAAUGUCCCUGUUGCUUAUCUAAAAACUUUCUCGAGUGUCCCUGUUGCAUAUGAAAAGAGCUUAAUGCGCACGUAUCCCUCAGAGCUGAUGCUCACAUGUCCCUCAUGUGUCCCUGUGGCAUAUGAAAGAGCUUACAGCUCACUUGUCCCUAUCAAUUAUAAAAGUGCUUAAAGCUCACUUGUGCCUAUUCCUUAUUAAAGCGCCUAAAGCUUACGUGUUCCCUGUUGCUGAUAAAAGAGUUUCAAGUUUACUUGCCCCCAUCGCUUAUAAAAGAGCUUAAAGCUCACAUAAAAUAGCAUGAAGCUCACUUGUCCUUGUGAAUUAUAAAAGAGUUUAGAGCUCACUUGUCGGUGUCGCUUAUAAAAGAGCUUAAAGCUCACUUGUCCCUCCCACUUAUACAAGAGCAUAAAGCUCACGUGUCCUGGUUGCUUGUAAAAUAGCUUAUAGCUGACUUGUCCCUCUCUCUCGCUCUCUUAUAAAAGAGCUUAAACCUCACGUCUCCCUGUCACUUAUGAAAGAGCAUUCAGCUCACUUGUCUAUGUCACUUAUAAAGAGCUCAAAGCUCAUGUGUCUAUGUCCCUUAUAAAAGAGCAUGAAGCGCACGUGUCUCUGUGGCCUAUAAAAGAGCUUAAAGCUCACUUCUCCCUGUUGCUUAUCAAAGAGCUUAAAAGUUACUUGUCCCUCCCCAUUUGUAAAUGUCCCUGUCGUUUAUAAAAUUGCAUAUAGCUCAUGUGUCCUUGAUGCUUGUAAAAGAGCUUAAAGCUCACGUGUCUAUAUCGCUUAUAAAAGAGCUUAAAGCUCUAUAUCGCUUAUAAAAGGCUUAAAGCUCAUGUGUCUCUAUUGCUAAGGCUCAUGUGUCCCUAUUGUUUAUAAAAGAGCUUAACGGCACAGUUACUCUUGCUUAUAAAAGAGCUUAAUGCUCAUUUAUCCUAAUGAUUAUGAAGUAGCACAAUGCUUAUGAAAGAACUUGCUCAAAUGUCCAUGUUGCUUAUGAAAAGCGUCUAAUGCUCAGGUAUCACUCAUAGCUUGAUUCUCACAUGUCCCUACUGCUUAUGAAAGAGCUUAAAGCUCACUUAUCGUGUGGCUUAUGAAAGAGCCUAAAGCUCACUUGCCCUUGUUACUUAUAAAAUAGCAUAAAGCUCACUUGCCCAUGCUGCUUAUUGAAAAACUUUAAAGCUCACUUGUCCCUGUCAUUUGUAAAAGAACUUAAAGCUCACUUAUCCUCAUUGUUAAUUGAAGAGCUUAAAGAUAAAGCUCACUUAGGUCCCUCUGCAUAUUAAACACUAAAGCUCGCGUGUCCCUAUGGCUUAUAGAAAGCUUGAAGGUUAGUUGUCCCAGUCUCUUAUAAAAGAGUUUAAAGCUGACGCUCCCUGUUGCUUAUAAAAGAGAUUAAAAUAAUCUUGUCCAUGUCCCUAAUAGAACAUCUUAAAGUCACAUAAAAGAGAUGAGCUCACGUGUCCAUAUGGAUAUAAAAUAGCAUAAAGCUCAACGUUUCCUUCCCAUUUAUGAAAAAGCUUAGAGGUCACUUGUCUCUCUCGCUUAUAAAAGGGCUUAAAGCUCACGGGUCCCUGUUGUUUAAUAUAAGAGCUUAAAGUUCACCUUUCUCUGCCACUCGUAAAAGACCGUAAAGCUUACUUGCUCCUGCCGCUUAUAAAAGAGCGUAAAACUCACUUGUCCCUGUCAUUUAUGAAAGAGUUUUAACGAUCACUUGUUCCCAUCAUUAAUUAAAGAGCUUGAAGCAUAACGCUCACUUGUCCCUGCUGCUUAUUAAACAACAUAAAGCCCACUUGUCCCUCUGGCUUAUGGAAAAGCUUAAAGGUUGCUCGUCCCUGUCUCCUAUAGAAGAGUUUAAAGCUCAUGUGUCCAUGUUGCUACUAAAAUAACUUAAAGCUCACAUAACAGAGCAUGACGCUCACAUAUCCCGAUGUUGAUUAUAAAAGAGCUUAAAGCUCACUUGUCCUCGUCGCUUGCAAAAGAGCUUAAAGCUCACUUGUCCUCGUCGCUUGCAAAAGAGCUAAAGCUCACUUGUCCCCCAACGCCCCCGCUUAUAAAGAGCUUAAAAGCUCACUGUCUCUGCGCUUAUAAAGAGUUAAAGUUCUGGGGUCUGUAUAAAAGAGCUUAAAGCUCACUUGUCCCCUCGUUUAUAAAAAAGAGCAUAAAGGUCACAUGUCUUUAUCGCUUCUUAAAGAGCUUAAAGCUACUUGUCCCUAUGGCUUAUAAAAGAGCUUGAAGCUCAUUCGUCCUGCUGUUAAAAGAGUAUGAAGUUCACGUGUCCCUGUGGCUCAUAAAAGAGCUUAAACUUUGCUUCUCCCUGUAGCUUAUAAGGCGUAAAGAACUAUGUCAGUGUUCCUAUGGUAUAAAGUUUAAAGCUCACGUGUCCCUUCUGUUCACAGAAGAGUUUAGUGCUCAUGUGUCCCUCUUACUUACAAAAGAGCGCAAUGCUCAUGUGUCACUCCUAAGCAAGAGCUUAAUGCUCACAUGUCCCUGGUGCUUAUAAAAGAGCUUAAAGCUCAUGUGUCCCGGUUGCUUAUAAAAGUGCUUAAGACUCACGUGUCCUUGCUUAAAAUGCUCAUAACCCAAUGAUUACGAAAUAGCUUGAUGAUCAUGUGUGAAAGCGCUUGAUGCUCAAAUGUCCCUGUUGCUUAUCUAAAAACUUUCUCGAGUGUCCCUGUUGCAUAUGAAAAGAGCUUAAUGCGCACGUAUCCCUCAGAGCUGAUGCUCACAUGUCCCUCAUGUGUCCCUGUGGCAUAUGAAAGAGCUUACAGCUCACUUGUCCCUAUCAAUUAUAACAGAGCUUAAAGCUCACUUGUCCCUAUUCCUUAUUAAAGCGCCUAAAGCUUACGUGUUCCGUGUUGCUUAUAAAAGAGUUUCAAGUUUACUUGCCCCCAUCACUUAUAAAAGAGCUUAAAGCUCACAUAAAAUAGCAUGAAGCUCACUUGUCCUUGUGAAUUAUAAAAGAGUUUAGAGCUCACUUGUCGGUGUCGCUUAUAAAAGAGCUUAAAGCUCACUUGUCCCUACUUAUACAAGAGCAUAAAGCUACGUGUCCUGGUUGCUUGUAAAUAGCUUAUAGAUUCCUCUCUCUCUCUUAUAAAAGAGCUUAAACCUCACGUCUCCCUGUCACUUAUAAAAGAGCAUUCAGCUCACUUGUCUAUGUCUUAAAAGAGCUCAAAGCUCAUGUGUCCAUGUCCCUUAUAAAAGAGCAUGAAGCGCACGUGUCUCUGUGGCCUAUAAAAGAGCUUAAAGCUCACUUCUCCCUGUUGCUUAUCAAAGAGCUUAAAAGUUACUUGUCCCUCCCCAUUUGUAAAUGUCCCUGCGUUUAUAAAAUUGCAUAUAGCUCAUGUGUCCUUGAUGCUUGUAAAAGAGCUUAAAGCUCACGUGUCUAUAUCGCUUAUAAAAGAGCUUAAGGCUCAUGUGUCUCUAGCUUAAGGCUCAUUUGUAAAAAAGAGCUUAACGGCACAUGUUCUCUUGCUUAUAAAAGAGCUUAAUGCUCAUAUCCUAAUGAUUAUGAAGUAGCACAAUGCUUAUGAAAGAAUUGCUCAAAUGUCCAUGUUGCUUAUGAAAAGCGUCUAAUGCUCAGGUAUCACUCAUAGCUUGAUUCUACAUGUCCCUACUGCUUAUAAAGAGCUUAAGCUCACUUAUCGUGUGGCUUAUGAAAGAGCCUAAAGCUCACUUGCCCUUGUUACUUAUAAAAAGCAUAAAGCUCACUUGCCCAUGCUGCUUAUUGAAAAACUUAAAGCUCACUUGUCCCUGUCAUUUGUAAAAGAACUUAACUCACUUAUCCUCAUGUUAAUUGAAGAGUUAAAGCAUAAAGCUCACUUGUCCCUCUGCAUAUUAAACAGCAUAAAGCUCGCGUGUCCCUAUGGCUUAUAGAAAAGCUUGAAGGUUAGUUGUCCCAGUCUCUUAUAGAAGAGUUUAAAGCUCACGUCCUGUUGCUUAUAAAAGAGAUUAAAAUAAUCUUGUCCAUGCCCUAAUAGAACAACUUAAAGCUCACAUAAAAGAGCAUGUAGCUCACGUGUCCAUAUGGAUAUAAAAUAGCAUAAAGCAACUUUCUUCCCAUUUAUGAAAAAGCUUAAGGUCACUUGUCCCUCUCGCUUAUAAAAGGGCUUAAAGCUCACGGUCCUGUUGUUAAUAUAAGAGCUUAAAGCUCACUUUUCUCUGCCACUCGUAAGACCAUAAAGCUUACUUGUCUGCCGCUUAUAAAAGAGCGUAAACUCACUUGUCCUGUCAUUUAUGAAAGAGUUUUAACGCUCACUUGUUCCCAUCAUUAAUUAAGAGCUUGAAGCAUAACGUCACUGUCCACUGCUUAUUAAAGAGCAUAAAGCCCACUUGUCCCUAUGGCUUAUGGAAAAGCUUAAAGGUUGCUUGUCCCUGUCUCCUAUAGA